ACCUCAUACUAUUCCCUCCCCUCCUCCACGAACCCCUUCAUAACAAACAAACUCAACACACCGUUGUGCACCUUUAGUGUGCCUCUUGCGUGCUUAAGUGAGCCAUUCUCUUUUUUCUUUCUUUGCCUUCGUUCUCCGACACGCUCGUCUGCCUCGUUGACUUCUUUUCUGCUCGUAUCGCUACUUCAUGGGACACCGCACGGCACCCUAGUCCUGCGUCGUGCUGCUCGACUCAACUUUCUGCUUUCUCGAACCACCUCUUCUUCGCCAGCCCUCCUCCCUCCCUCUCACUCCCGGCCCACUAAAAGGCUUUUGUGCGAGGGCCAUGCACAACUCUUCGAAGUCUGAGUACUCCGUGGUGGGCCAGCGGGAGCAGCUUGAUGUGGUUGACGUAGCAGUGUCGGAGACGACCCAGGUUGUAGGCAGUGUCACCCGCCCGUGGCACUACAGCUUGUGUGUGACCUGCACCGAGAUGAAUUCGUGCCUAGAGUGCUGCUUCUGCACGGUGUGCCAGCUAAGCCGCCAGUUCAAUAUGCUGUAUAACAACAAGCCGGAGCUGCACCUUCCUGUCUGCUUGAUGAUAACAGGACUGAGCAUGUCCGGUGUCCCCUCGGUCUUUGUGCUCGAGUACAUCCUGCGCAGUGACAUUCGUCGCCGCUAUGGUAUUGAGGGCAACGCGUUGAAGGAUUGCUGCGUAUCAUGGCUGUGCGAAGCGUGCGCGGUUCAGCAGCAGUUCCUGGAGAUGACGUCUCUUGGCAUGUGCCCCGGCAUGAGUAUGUGCGGCGUCGCCCCUGUAGCGCCAGGCUCGCAGGUAAUGCUUUAGGUCGUGAGGAGGCGGUUGCACCACUGACACGGCCUUUGCCGUUUUGCUUUGAGGAAGUCACAACGACGCGCUGUCUCUCUCUCUCUCUCCCUCGUUGUAGUUGUUUUCGCCCUUGUCUCAUCUCGCUUUCCUUCGAAAAUGAUUUCCUUUUUUUUCUUGUUCUUUCGUCUCGCACUUCGCACUUCUUGGUGCAACUCGCUUGACUCCUCCUCCCGCACUCACCCAACCCGCACCCAUAAUGUCGCGCCCCACUCUAAGCGCCCACUGGUCAACGCAGGUCUCCUAACAGUUUUUUUUUUUUGCUCUUUAUUAGUGACUAAAAUUCCUGACUUCUCCGUCAUGUGCUUGUUUGCUUGUCGGCUGCGCGCGCGUGUGCGCGCUUGCUUGCUUGCUGCGGUCUGUUGACCAGUGACUUGCUUAUUUCUCUCUUGUGGGGUAACGUUGCCCACUCUUCCUCCUUCUCCCUCGCCGACUGGCUCACUUCGUUGCUAUUUCCUUCUAUCUGUUUCUGUAAGACAGCCCUCAGACGUCGACACUUAUGGGAUGCGUCACCGUCGUCCAAACCGAUAAAACUGCCCCUUCAAACAAAAAAUUGCGCAUCUUGGUAUGUCUACCGCGCUUUCACUGUUUCCUUCGAAAAUCCGCGCGCGCGCGUGUGUGUGUGAGCUGGUUUAUGUUUUGAGCUUCGGUGUGUUCCUUGUCACUGCCCUCAGCCUCACCAUCUCGCGCGCCCUUUUUUCUCUGUUCUUCUCGGAUGAAG
RNAcentral lists this unclassified non-coding RNA (1583 nucleotides) under Leishmania donovani. Its description in RNAcentral is "gene:LdHU3.30.1840(CDS-product:PLAC8_family_putat ive)". Lineage: Eukaryota; Euglenozoa; Kinetoplastea; Trypanosomatida; Trypanosomatidae. The record is from RNAcentral.